CAGUAGCCACGGUAAUACAGAGGGUGCGAGCGUUAAUCGGAUUUACUGGGCGUAAAGUGUGCGUAGGCGGCUUCUUAAGUCGGAUGUGAAAUCCCUGAGCUUAACUUAGGAAUUGCAUUCGAUACUGGGAAGCUAGAGUAUGGGAGAGGAUGGUAGAAUUCCAGGUGUAGCGGUGAAAUGCGUAGAGAUCUGGAGGAAUACCGAUGGCGAAGGCAGCCAUCUGGCCUAAUACUGACGCUGAGGUACGAAAGCAUGGGGAGCAAACAGGAUUAGAUACCCCAGUAGUCCCUGUCUCUUAUAC
Molecule: ribosomal RNA, 301 nt
Filed under: uncultured bacterium
Lineage: Bacteria
Description: partial 16S ribosomal RNA
Rfam family: Bacterial small subunit ribosomal RNA
Source: RNAcentral